Molecule: unclassified non-coding RNA, 222 nt
Filed under: fungal sp.
Lineage: Eukaryota; Fungi
Description: partial internal transcribed spacer region
Rfam family: Eukaryotic small subunit ribosomal RNA (bases 1-46)
Source: RNAcentral
AAGUCGUAACAAGGUUUCCGUAGGUGAACCUGCGGAAGGAUCAUUAUCGUGGGUGCUUCGGCGCCCUCGAGAUAGAACCCUUGCCUUUAUGAGUACCCUUCGUUUUCCUCGGCAGGCCCGCCUGCCAAUGGGGACCCCCAACAAACCCUUUGUAAAUGCCUGCAAUCGUCUGACGAAACAAGCAAAAAUCAAAAACUUUCAACAACGGAUCUCUUGGUUCUG